RNAcentral lists this ribosomal RNA (619 nucleotides) under Necterosoma regulare. RNAcentral's name for it is "partial 16S ribosomal RNA". It matches the Rfam family "Bacterial large subunit ribosomal RNA", at positions 1838 to 2737 of the family's 2925-position model. The record is from RNAcentral. Lineage: Eukaryota; Metazoa; Arthropoda; Insecta; Coleoptera; Dytiscidae.
GAUAAUAAUUUAAGGUCUGACCUGCCCACUGAGUAUUAUUAAAUGGCCGCAGUAAUUUGACUGUGCGAAGGUAGCAUAAUCAUUAGUUUUUUAAUUAAAAGCUUGUAUGAAUGGUUGGACGAGAUAAAAUCUGUCUUUAGAUAAAUUUUAGAAUUUAAUUUUUAAGUUAAAAAGCUUAAAUUUUUAUAAAAGACGAGAAGACCCUAUAGAUCUUUAUAAUAUUAUAUUUAUUUUUAAUAAGGAUUAUUUUAUUAUUUAAAUUUAGUGUUAUUUUAUUGGGGUAAUAUGAAGAUUAAUUAAAUUCUUUAUUAUAUUUUUUCAAUAAUUUUUGUUUAUUUGAUCCUUAAUUUAAGAUUAAAAGAUUAAGUUACCUUAGGGAUAACAGCGUAAUUUUUUUAAAGAGUUCAUAUCGAUAAAAAAGUUUGCGACCUCGAUGUUGGAUUAAAAAUAAUUCUAGGUGUAGAAGUUUAGAUUAUUGGUCUGUUCGACCAUUAUAUUUUUACAUGAUCUGAGUUCAGACCGGUGUAAGCCAGGUCGGUUUCUAUCUUUAUUAAAUUAAUAUAUUUUAGUACGAAAGGACCAAAUAUUUAUUAUAUUUAUAUUUAUUUUUUGAAUAAUA